RNAcentral lists this ribosomal RNA (502 nucleotides) under uncultured bacterium. Its description in RNAcentral is "bacterial SSU rRNA". It matches the Rfam family "Bacterial small subunit ribosomal RNA", at positions 29 to 507 of the family's 1533-position model. The record is from RNAcentral.
AACAAACGCUGGCGGCGUGCCUAACACAUGCAAGUCGUACGAGAAAGUCGGCUUCGGCCGAUGAGUACAGUGGCGCACGGGUGAGUAGCGCGUGGGUAAUCUGCCCCCGGUCAGGAAUAACCCGCCGAAAGGCGGGCUAAUACCCGAUAACACUGACGCUCCGCGGAGCGUCUUUCAAAGGAGGCCUCUGUUUACAAGCUUUCGCCGGAGGAUGAGCCCGCGUACCAUUAGCUAGUUGGCAGGGUAAUGGCCUACCAAGGCUGCGAUGGUUAGCUGGUCUGAGAGGAUGGCCAGCCACACUGGAACUGAGACACGGUCCAGACUCCUACGGGAGGCAGCAGUGAGGAAUCUUGCGCAAUGGGGGAAACCCUGACGCAGCAACGCCGCGUGAGUGAGGAAGGCCUUCGGGUCGUAAAGCUCUGUCAGAUGGGAAGAAAUGGGUGGGGGCUAAUAUCGCCCAUCCUUGACGGUACCAUCAGAGGAAGCACCGGCUAACUCCGUG